This is a long non-coding RNA of Hemicordylus capensis (graceful crag lizard), 772 nucleotides long. RefSeq lists it as uncharacterized. NCBI's taxonomy places the organism in Eukaryota, Metazoa, Chordata, Lepidosauria, Squamata, Cordylidae. The transcript has 3 exons. The record is from RefSeq and is a predicted model, not a curated record.
CUCCAGUAGGGCCCAAGCCAGCCAGGAAGGAGGAGGCAGCCAGAGUGUUCUCUGCAGCAGAAGACCCCUUGCUGCCCUGCUUAACCCAGACCAGCAUUUGCCAGCUGGCAUCAGAAAUCCAUGCAUGACUGGAGGUUAUUUGCAGUGGAAUGAAGUCACCUUAAUUUCAAGCACCUUUCUGUAGAAUUGGAUGAUGCUUCCCCACAAGAGAGAGUCACACCAACCUCAUCCUGCCAGUGCUUGUCAAGUACCCUGGUCACUCAAAUAAAUUCUAUACCUUGCUGCUGCUCUUGGAUGAAGACCCCCGCCAUCACAUACAACACUGCAAAGUUCUGCACCGAGGCCUGUAGAAGCCGCAGGUCCAUGACAACUUCCAUCCUGAGGGACCAUGGGCUGAGCCUACAAAUUCCAGUCUUAGCCUCAACUCUCACAUAAGCUAUUGCAACCUCCUUUUAAUUGUAUACUUUUAAUUUUUCUUAUGUACCUUUAAACACUCUUAAUUAUUUUUAAUUAUUUUUAAGUACUCUUACACAUAGAGCCCUUUUGGCCCACUGUUUACUCGGGUGCAGACUUCUCUCUUGUCGGCAGUCUGAGUUUUUUUAAAAAAUUAUUUUUAAAAUUUUCUUCCCCCUUAUUACUACCCUACACUUUUAUAGCUUCAUAACUGUAGUUUUAUAUUUUAUAUUGUAUCUCCCACCCCCUGCCUGUACCUCAUGUAUUUUAUUGCUCUUGUGCUGGACUAAGACUGAAAUAAAGGUGAUUGAUCAAUCGA